This 198-nucleotide ribosomal RNA is filed under the name uncultured bacterium. RNAcentral describes it as "partial 16S ribosomal RNA". It matches the Rfam family "Bacterial small subunit ribosomal RNA", at positions 328 to 539 of the family's 1533-position model. The record is from RNAcentral.
ACGCUCGACACCUACGGGGGGCAGCAGUGGGGAAUAUUGCACAAUGGGGGAAACCCUGAUGCAGCGACGCCGCGUGGAGGAAGAAGGUCUUCGGAUUGUAAACUCCUGUUGUUGGGGAAAAAGAGGAUGGUACCCAACAAGGAAGUGACGGCUAACUACGUGCCAGCAGCCGAGGUAAUCUGAGCGGGCUGGCAAGGC